RNAcentral lists this long non-coding RNA (834 nucleotides) under Homo sapiens (human). Its description in RNAcentral is "long non-coding RNA NONHSAT169347.1". Lineage: Eukaryota; Metazoa; Chordata; Mammalia; Primates; Hominidae. The record is from RNAcentral.
AGAAUGCCAACUUUGAUUCUUCAAGGAAAAUCAGCAGCUGACCACACACCACCCUUCCUGGUCCUCCCCGAGAUGCCAAGAACAUCCAAAGUCUGCAGUUUUGAGAUGUUACCCUUCGGAUGCAUACCUCAAUCUGCCUGAAAAUCAUGGAAUUCUGGAGAUGGAAGGGACCUCAGAGAUUUUCUGGUUCUCUCUGUUCUGGUUGUAAGUGUUCUUACCACACACCACUCCCAACCAUGGGGAGCCUUUCCACCACUGAAGAGAGCUGGGGUUACUAAAGCCACAAUCAGCUUCUCUGCAACUUCUAACCAUUUGGCUAAGAUCAGUUUUUCUGAAACCACAAAGAAAAAAAAUCUACGAACAAGUACUAGCGUACCAAUGUUCACAGUAGCAUUAUUCACAAGUCAUAAGGUGGAAGCAACCCAAAUGUCCAUCAACAGAUGAAUAGGUAAACAACAUGCGGAAUAUACAUCCAAUGGAAUCCUCUUCAGCCUCAACAAGGAAGGAAAUUCCAGUGCAUGCUAUAACAUAGAUGGACCUCAAGGACACUGUGCUAAGUUAAUUAAGCUAGACACAAAAGGACAAAUGCUGUAUGACUCCACUUGUAUGAGGUCUCUUGAGUAGUCAGAAAGCAGAAUGGUGGCUGCCAGGAGCUGGGGGGGGGGGCAGGAAGAAUGGGGAGUUAUUGUUUAAUGGGAACAGAGUUUCUGUUUGGGAUGAUGAUAAAGUUCUAGAAAUUGAUAGCUGUGAUGGUCACACAACAUUGUGAAUAUAAUUAAUGCCACAGGACUGUAUAUUUAAAAAUGAUUAAAAUGGCAGAUUUUAUGUUAUGAU